AGAAUCAACGCUGGCGGCGUGCCUAACACAUGCAAGUCGAACGCGAAAGCCCCGCAAGGGGCAAGUAGAGUGGCAAACGGGUGAGUAACACGUGGGUGACCUGCCUUCGAGUGGGGGAUAACGUCCCGAAAGGGACGCUAAUACCGCAUAACAUGCUGUUUUGAACAGAUGGACAUCAAAGCUGGGGACCGCAAGGCCUGGCGCUUGAAGAGGGGCCCGCGCCUGAUUAGCUAGUUGGUGGGGUAAUGGCUCACCAAGGCUUCGAUCAGUA
This 271-nucleotide ribosomal RNA is filed under the name uncultured soil bacterium. RNAcentral's name for it is "partial 16S ribosomal RNA". It matches the Rfam family "Bacterial small subunit ribosomal RNA", at positions 26 to 285 of the family's 1533-position model. The record is from RNAcentral.